UUCACUUUGGGUCCCUCAACUUUAUAUCGAGUUUAAUAUCGGAUAUGUGGGCCAUGUUCGCAUGGCCUGCUUCUGUAUCCAAAUAUAACAAUUUGUUAUGGGGAAGGGCCCAUUAGUGGUUCUGCCACUAGGGCCCUUGCGCGUUGCCGAGGCGUUGCACUGCUGCCCGGGCCGGCGCACCCCAA
Molecule: small nuclear RNA, 185 nt
Filed under: Oryza glumipatula
Lineage: Eukaryota; Viridiplantae; Streptophyta; Magnoliopsida; Poales; Poaceae
Description: U2 spliceosomal RNA
Rfam family: U2 spliceosomal RNA
About the family: U2 is a small nuclear RNA (snRNA) component of the spliceosome (involved in pre-mRNA splicing). Complementary binding between U2 snRNA (in an area lying towards the 5' end but 3' to hairpin I) and the branchpoint sequence (BPS) of the intron results the bulging out of an unpaired adenosine, on the BPS, which initiates a nucleophilic attack at the intronic 5' splice site, thus starting the first of two transesterification reactions that mediate splicing.
Source: Rfam by way of RNAcentral